This 258-nucleotide ribosomal RNA is filed under the name uncultured bacterium. RNAcentral's name for it is "partial 16S ribosomal RNA". It matches the Rfam family "Bacterial small subunit ribosomal RNA", at positions 15 to 263 of the family's 1533-position model. The record is from RNAcentral.
GAUCCUGGCUCAGAUUGAACGCUGGCGGCGUGCCUAACACAUGCAAGUCGAACGUGAAAGUUCCUUCGGGAGCGAGUAAAGUGGCGCACGGGUGAGUAACACGUGGAUAAUCUACCGGGAAGUUGGGGAUAACGACUGGAAACGGUCGCUAAUACCGAAUACGCUGUUCUAUUUGUUUAGGACAGGAAAGGAGGCCUCUGCAUAUGCUUCCGCUUUUCGAUGAGUCCGCGUCCCAUUAGCUGGUUGGCGGGGUAAAGG